GCCGGGGUGGCGGAAUAGGCAGACGCAGGCGACUUAAAAUCGCUCGUGGCGACACGUGCGGGUUCGAGCCCCGCCCUCGGCA
Molecule: transfer RNA, 82 nt
Filed under: Sandaracinus sp.
Lineage: Bacteria; Pseudomonadati; Myxococcota; Polyangiales; Sandaracinaceae
Description: tRNA-Leu
Rfam family: tRNA
About the family: Transfer RNA (tRNA) molecules are approximately 80 nucleotides in length. Their secondary structure includes four short double-helical elements and three loops (D, anti-codon, and T loops). Further hydrogen bonds mediate the characteristic L-shaped molecular structure. tRNAs have two regions of fundamental functional importance: the anti-codon, which is responsible for specific mRNA codon recognition, and the 3' end, to which the tRNAs corresponding amino acid is attached (by aminoacyl-tRNA synthetases). tRNAs cope with the degeneracy of the genetic code in two manners: having more than one tRNA (with a specific anti-codon) for a particular amino acid; and 'wobble' base-pairing, i.e. permitting non-standard base-pairing at the 3rd anti-codon position.
Source: RNAcentral